AUCCUUUAACGGACACCUUUUUUUCUCUCUCCUUCUGAAACAGUGCUUCUUUGAAAAGAAAAAAAAACCCCAAAAGUUUUUCUACUCUUCCAUCAUGGAAGAGUAAUCCCUAGGCAAACCUUUGGGUGAUUAGUGGGUCACGAGCUAUGAGGAGCGGAUUUGAAGGUUUGAUUAACAUAGAUGUGAUGCAUUUUUAGGUUUUCUCUAAAUUAAUUCUACCUUGUUUGGAUUUUGGUUGAAUCUCACUUCUCCUUUCUAGGUUGUUGCGGGUAUCGUUGUGUUAAAUACAAGAACAACAAGGGAAAUGAGUUUCUUUCUUUCAAAUCUCUUUUUGUUCCGAUCUGUUUUUGAAUUGCUUUGAUGUUUUGUUCUCUCAAAUUUCUUGUCGCCCUCUUAGGUUGUUGGUUGGUAUCGUUGUUCUAGAUACAUCAACAAUGGGGGUUUUGAAGUUUGCAUCUUUCGUUAUCCUGAUAUCCUCUAGUUUGCAAUUUUAUUUGGUGUGUCCCGGAACUAGAUCGUUUAAUAAUGGUUGGGUCUGUGGAUUUGUGAUUCGCCCAUCCGUUUGUAUUUUCCAGUAUUCCUUUGUUGUUUGGUUUGGUUAAGCCUUUGUCUUAUCUCAUUAGUCUUCUGUUAUUGUCCAUCUAUUGCUUAAUCUUGGAUUUUGAUCCAAGUGAAUGAUUCUUAGUAAAUUUGUUGUACCCCAACGACGAUUGGGUUUGUGAUCUUGUGCUUGACAGUUCAAUUAUCUUGUCUUUGCUUCCAUAUGUUGAAUUGGUUAGGUUUAUUGCCCAUAUUAGUAGUGUCUUUAAACUGUUUGAUGAUAGUCCCGAACUAGAAGUUGUUGCUGUUUGACCUGCAUCCCAAUGAUUAAUUGGGUUCUCCUAUUUUUCCGAUAUUCCUUGUUGGCUGUCCCUUGCCUUUUAGGAAUUCGAUCUUCAAAUUUAAAAACCAAUAUAAAUCCUUUUUUGACUCAUUUUUCUUACCUCUGUGUUGUCGAGUUCUAGGGCCUUUGUUCUUUAAAAAUUAUUAAUCGGAAACCUGGAGAGGUUGGUAAUCUUCAGUAUUUUUAGUUUUAAUAAACUCAGUUCAAGUGUAUGUACACUCGUUCAAUUUUUAAAAGAAAAAUCUUUAAAACUGUUUAAUUCCUUUUGGUGUGUUUUAUGAAACAAGAGUAUGUGCUCUUGUUUAAAAGAAGAAACCAUGUCUAGGAUGGUUAUGGGGCUUGAGGAGACCUCAGAAGGAUGGUUUGGUAACCUAUAAAUGGUGAUCCUUGGCUCUCUCCCUGUAGGCUCGUUUUUUUUUUCUUUUUUUGGUUGUUUGUUUAAUUUAGAUAUGGUUGGAUUAUAUGUCAAAAGAGUUGAGGGAGGCUAAAUAGGGAUUUUAGGUGUUUAAAGGUUACAUGGAUGAUUAUUUAAAAGUUAGUGGAGUGUAUUUGGUCAUCUUAGCUCCGUUAAUUGUUGGUGUUAUUGGUUCAUAACUUAACAUCUUUGUUUUAGGCUACUGUAAAUGUAAGUGUAUUCCCUUCUAAAUUCUUAUGCUUUUAGUUUCAAAUGCAAUUUUGUCUUUUCGCUUGUUUGAUCUUUUGUUAAAAGUCUAUAAUGAUUAGUUUAUUUUUAUUUUGAGGAAAAAUUAGUUGAAUAAUUUCAUCACAUUCUUGGCUGCCAUAAACCUCACAUCUAAACCUCCGCUCCUUUGACCCGAUAAAACCCAAAGGUAAGCCGAUCUCUUUCUUUGAUUUCAAUCCUUCUAGUAUAUAUUCUUGUUUUUAAUCUCUUCACUUCGUGAAAUCCUAGUUCUCCUCUUAGAUUUCUAUUCUUGUUUUUAAUCUCCUCACUUCGUGAAAUCCUAGUUCUCCUCUUAGAUUUCUUAUUCGGUUUGUGGAGUUAUUAAGAAAUCUGGACCUUGUCUUUGGCCUCCUACUUAGUAAGUACUCAAGUUAUCAUUUUUCUGUCUUCAUUAAAGGUACUGCUGAUUUCACCUUUCCUUCCUUUGUUUCUUUUAGAAGAAACUCCAGGGACAUUCAAAGCAGCAGCAAUGGGAUGCAGCAGGACCUUCUCAUCAGAAGAGGCAGAAGCUGUAGCUCUCCUCAAUGCAACUCAAUGGGCAGUCACAAACAACAUACAACAAUUGGUGAUUGAAAGAGACAACCAGGCAACAAUCAAGUAUCUUCAAGGGAGAGAAUCAACAGUCCAAUGGCAAUGUAUAGCCAUCUUAGAUGAAGUUAAAUUAUUAGCUAAGAAUUUAGUCUCUUUUCUAGGUUUUCAGUGUGUAGAUAGGAGAGCUAACAAGGUGGCAGACUUGUUAGCAAAGAAGUGAAGAAGUUCUGAUAAUACAACUUCCUGGAAUGAAGAAUCUCCUAACUUUUUAAUUCCUUCAAUUGCUUUUGACAUUGUCAAAGCAUAUGAAUCCUGUAACUUAAACAACUUUCUCCCUGUAACUGCUAUUGCUGAUGUUAAUCUUAGAAAUUCAGCCAUUGGAAGAGUCAUUCCUCAUGAAAUGGUCUCUGAAGAGCCUGAAUCCGCAGAUUAACGGAUGCCUUUCAAUAUAAGUUAUUUUCAAAAAAAA
RNA transcript from Papaver somniferum (opium poppy), 2565 nucleotides. RefSeq lists it as uncharacterized. The record is from RefSeq and is a predicted model, not a curated record. The transcript is spliced from 2 exons. NCBI's taxonomy places the organism in Eukaryota, Viridiplantae, Streptophyta, Magnoliopsida, Ranunculales, Papaveraceae.